Molecule: ribosomal RNA, 457 nt
Filed under: uncultured bacterium
Lineage: Bacteria
Description: bacterial SSU rRNA
Rfam family: Bacterial small subunit ribosomal RNA
Source: RNAcentral
GAAUUCAACUCCUACGGGAGGCAGCAGUGGGGAAUAUUGCACAAUGGGGGAAACCCUGAUGCAGCUACGCCGCGUGAAGGAAGAAGUAUCUCGGUAUGUAAACUUCUAUCAGCAGGGAAGAAAAUGACGGUACCUGACUAAGAGGCCCCGGCUAACUACGUGCCAGCAGCCGCGGUAAUACGUAGGGGGCAAGCGUUAUCCGGAUUUACUGGGUGUAAAGGGAGCGUAGACGGAGCAGCAAGUCUGAUGUGAAAGGCAGGGGCUCAACCCUUGGACUGCAUUGGAAACUGUUGAUCUUGAGUACCGGAGGGGUAAGCGGAAUUCCUAGUGUAGCGGUGAAAUGCGUAGAUAUUAGGAGGAACACCAGUGGCGAAGGCGGCUUACUGGACGGUAACUGACGUUGAGGCUCGAAAGCGUGGGGAGCAAACAGGAUUAGAAACCCUAUAGUCCAGGCGUU